UUUGUUUCUCUUUUAUCACAGUCAGGAUGGCUAAAGGUGACCCCAAGAAACCAAAGGGCAAGAUGUCCGCUUAUGCCUUCUUUGUGCAGACAUGCAGAGAAGAACAUAAGAAGAAAAACCCAGAGGUCCCUGUCAAUUUUGCGGAAUUUUCCAAGAAGUGCUCUGAGAGGUGGAAGCGAUGUCCGGGAAAGAGAAAUCUAAAUUUGAUGAAAUGGCAAAGGCAGAUAAAGUGCGCUAUGAUCG
Molecule: long non-coding RNA, 243 nt
Filed under: Homo sapiens (human)
Lineage: Eukaryota; Metazoa; Chordata; Mammalia; Primates; Hominidae
Description: long non-coding RNA NONHSAT139001.2
Source: RNAcentral